This 24-nucleotide non-coding RNA is filed under the name Arabidopsis thaliana (thale cress). The record is from RNAcentral. Lineage: Eukaryota; Viridiplantae; Streptophyta; Magnoliopsida; Brassicales; Brassicaceae.
GAGAAAUUUGGAUUGGGCAUAACA